AGUGAACGCUGGCGGUAGGCCUAACACAUGCAAGUCGAACGGCAGCACAGUAAGAGCUUGCUCUUACAGGUGGCGAGUGGCGGACGGGUGAGGAAUACAUCGGAAUCUACUUUUUCGUGGGGGAUAACGUAGGGAAACUUACGCUAAUACCGCAUACGACCUACGGGUGAAAGCAGGGGAUCUUCGGACCUUGCGCGAUUGAAUGAGCCGAUGUCGGAUUAGCUAGUUGGCGGGGUAAAGGCCCACCAAGGUGACGAUCCGUAGCUGGUCUGAGAGGAUGAUCAGCCACACUGGAACUGAGACACGGUCCAGACUCCUACGGGAGGCAGCAGUGGGGAAUAUUGGACAAUGGGCGCAAGCCUGAUCCAGCCAUACCGCGUGGGUGAAGAAGGCCUUCGGGUUGUAAAGCCCUUUUGUUGGGAAAGAAAAGCAGCAGGUUAAUACCCCGCUGUUCUGACGGUACCCAAAGAAUAAGCACCGGCUAACUUCGUG
This 492-nucleotide ribosomal RNA is filed under the name uncultured bacterium. Its description in RNAcentral is "partial 16S ribosomal RNA". It matches the Rfam family "Bacterial small subunit ribosomal RNA", at positions 29 to 507 of the family's 1533-position model. The record is from RNAcentral.